Molecule: long non-coding RNA, 1749 nt
Organism: Ipomoea triloba (trilobed morning glory)
Lineage: Eukaryota; Viridiplantae; Streptophyta; Magnoliopsida; Solanales; Convolvulaceae
Exons: 3
Source: RefSeq, a predicted model, not a curated record
UUCCACCAGAAGCCUUCCCUCACGCUUCUCUCUCUCGACUUUCUCUCUUCUCCUACAGUAGUGAGGCUCGGCGGCGAUUCCGAUGCAUCGAAGGCAGUAGACGAGAGCUCCUCCCCUGUUCCGGUCUCUCUCCUCUCGUUGGCGGUGGUUCGGUUCAACAGCGGUGAGCAGACCGGCGACCAUGGCCCCUGUUUUUUCGGUGGGAGUAGAGUCAAGGAAUUGCGUGAAUGGUUACCAUUAAAGGAAAGAAGUAUUUCUAUGGAAAAUAUUAAACUUUGAAAAUUGGUGGUGUCAAAUAUAUGUACGCUACUUUAAACAAUUGAUGAUUAUGAAGAAGAUGGAUUACAGUGGCAAUUAGCAGAUUAAGGAUUGAUUAAUAAUGGAUUAGGAGGUUUUCCCCGUUGUAGUGGCUAACUUAAAGGUUGAGCCUUAGAUUCGAUGAUUUCUUUUGGAGCUUAGCUUGAGGUAAGUUUCUAUGUCCGUCAAAAUUACUUUGUCCUAUCAAAUGUGCUAUUUAUCUCUUUGAGUCCUUAAAUUGUUUUGAAAUUGUGUUUGGGUUUAAAAGUGUGAUAAAUAGCAAAUGUGUAUAUUUUGAUGUUACCCUUGUGAUUUACAAGUAUGAAUAUGUGUAUGGUUAUAUGGUGAGGAUAUUAUGGUAACUACAUAAGUAUGAAACUAUACUAUUUUUAGAAAGCAUAAACUAUAUUUACUUCUGAGAGGUAUAACUAUAUUUGUUGAGGAGGAUAAAUACUAUUUUGACAUAGAUAACUAUAUUUCGAUGUUACCCUUAGGAUUUACAAGUAUGAAUAUGUGUAUGGUUAUAUGGUGAGGAUAUUAUGGUAACUACAUAAGUAUGAAACUAUACUAUUUUUGGAAAGCAUAAACUAUAUUUACUUCUAAGAGGUAUAACUAUAUUUAUUGAGGAGGAUAAAUACUAUUUUGACAUAGAACCUAUUUGUAAAUAUAUUAUAUACACCCUAUACUAUUUUGGAAGCUAUGAUUUGAAUAGCCUACGGGUAAAUGAGAAGGUUUAUGAAAAUCUAUUUUGAAUGACUAUUAUUAUUUUUAGAGGAAUUAUGUAGAAAUGUAUCAUUUUGGAGGUUUAUCCCUUUCUAUGUGGAUUGUGUUGGAGGAUGAGCUUCAACUCCAUUUGAUUGCUGAUAUGAGCUCUGGUUCCAUUAUGAUUAUUAUUUGGCGGGUAACCUGGUAGAAAAAUCCUGGGUUGCUAGGACUAGUAACUACCCGUUGGGCUUGUAAUUCCAAUUAGGGGGUGUGCACACUUAAGGUUAUAGUUCUAUUUCCAUUGGUAUUAAUAUGGUGAGAAGUGAGGUUCCGUUGGUAGGAGAUGGUGGCGGUUGUGUUGGAAGCACUGUUCACUAGGGCUUCGCUGCAGUGGAGUUCCUGCCUUGCUAGGCCCAUUGUUAUCUCCACACUUGUGAUAUAUGACUCUUCGUUUAUGAUUUGGGAUGCUUGGGAUACCUCCACUUAUGUAUUGUUUUGCUAUAUCGAUAUUUGAGAAUGACAUGAGAAAACCUAUAUCUUGAAAUGAUUAUUGGAUGAAUAAACUAUAUGUGGUGAUGAAUUCCUCCAUAUACUUGUAUAUACUAUGUUUUUACUAUGCUUUGCAAAUGUUUAUAAGAAGUGAUGAGUUAUAUAUUUCUCCGUACUUGUCUUAUAUAUGCCCAUCUAUGUUUUGGGAAUAAAUAAUGGGAAACGAUUAUGUUUUUGAAAUGAUAUUUAUAUUGAGAA